Molecule: ribosomal RNA, 1603 nt
Filed under: uncultured Tulasnella mycobiont of Riccardia palmata
Lineage: Eukaryota; Fungi; Basidiomycota; Agaricomycetes; Cantharellales; Tulasnellaceae
Description: eukaryotic LSU rRNA
Rfam family: Eukaryotic large subunit ribosomal RNA (bases 540-1603)
Source: RNAcentral
UAGUUAUGGAGAGGGUCAACGUCCUUCACGGGACGCCCCUCGUUCACAUUAUGGAUGCAAUGCCUUAACCGGCUAGCGGGUCAGUCCUCUGGGCGCCGCACAUCUUUUUGAAAGUCUUUGACACGCUUGAGUAGAUAAAUUCAUAACGAAAUACAACCAGUAACGUUGGAUCCCUUGGCAUGUCAUUCGAUGAAGACCGUUGCAAAAUGCGAUAAGUGGUGUGAUAUGCAAGUCCAAAACUUAUACGUGAACCAUCGAAUUGUUGAACGCACUGCAUCGAUCCUUACCCAGGAACGAUAUGCCCCAUUGAGCGUCAUUAUGUCUUCGCGACCUCAGCCUUUCAUUAGGAUGUUGUCCGGGUUCGGGACUCACGGCCUUACACAGGUCGCGCCUCCUUAGAUACAUUACCGUGCAGGAGUAUCACUGGCAUCCUUGUCAUAAAUGUCGAGGUAGCUUAUGGUGUACGCCGGCGCAAGAUCAGGCUCUUUGUUGACCAGAUCAAAGGCGGGGUCCCUCUGGGACUUUGCAACCUCAAUACAUGACCUCACGGGGGCAGGAUGACCCGCUAGACUUAAGCAUAUUAAUCAGCGGAGGAAAAGAAACUAACUAGGAUUCCCCCAGUAACUGCGAGUGAAGAGGGAUGAGCUCAAUGUGUGAAUCAGGCCGGGAUUAGCUCCUUGUUUGAGUUGUGCACUAUAGACGGCGGAUCAGCGCUUGAAAGCUUGUGGUGUAUGUCCGAUGAAACUCGGUGCCAUAGAGGGUCACAGUCCUGUACUUGCCUUAAAGCUUUUGCGCAUUUGACCGACGUUCUGCGAGUCGCGUAGUUUUGUAUUGCUGCGCUAAUUGGGAGGUAGAGCCCUUCUAAAGCUAAAUAUGAUGACAUGACCGAUAGCACACAAGUACCGCGAGGGAAAGGUGAAAAGCAACCAUGCAGAAUGGGUUGAAACAGCAGUGAAAGCGUUACUGGGAUAAGGGUUGGGGAUUGCUUGUGCCAAUUGCGCGUGCUUCAGUGCUGCGCUGCUGGACGGCAUGCAUCGAUGCGGAUGGGGAGAACAGGGCCCUCGGGAAUUCGGCUGGAUCCGUCCAGUGUUGUAGACCUUGGGUCAAUGGAGCCCCUCCUGAUCGUUGAGUGUCUUGCGAUUGUCAACCGCCCGUCUUGAAACACGGACCAAGGAGUGCACCUUGCAUGCGAGUCGAAGGGACUGUAAUCCUGGAGGCGAAGCGAAAGCGAAGGCUGCGAACCCGUAAGGCGUCGGCAGCACCCGCCCUGUGCGAGGUAGAGCAUGCAGGGUGCGACCCGAAAGAUGGUGAACUAUGCCCGGGUAAGGUGAAGCCAGUGGAAACGCUGGUGGAGGCCUGUAGCGGUUCUGACGUGCAGAUCGAUCGUGUAACCUGGGUAUAGGGGCGAAAGACCUAUCGAACCGUCUAAUGGCUGGUUCCCCCCGAAGUUUCCCUCAGGAUAGCUGUGUCCCUAUUGUCAGUUGCACGCGGUAAAGCGAAUGAUUAGGUGUCUCGGGGCUACAUUUGCCUCGGCUCAUUCUCAAACUGUGAAUUGUGUGCGUACCGCGCGUGACCUAAUGGCACGCCGGGCGAAUGACAGGAC